CUCUGUGACUCCUACGGGAGGCAGCAGUGGGGAAUAUUGCACAAUGGGCGCAAGCCUGAUGCAGCCAUGCCGCGUGUGUGAAGAAGGCCUUCGGGUUGUAAAGCACUUUCAGUUGUGAGGAAGGUGGUGUCGUUAAUAGCGGCAUCAUUUGACGUUAGCAACAGAAGAAGCACCGGCUAACUCCGUGCCAGCAGCCGCGGUAAUACGGAGGGUGUGAGCGUUAAUCGGAAUUACUGGGCGUAAAGCGCAUGCAGGUGGUUUGUUAAGUCAGAUGUGAAAGCCCGGGGCUCAACCUCGGAAUUGCAUUUGAAACUGGCAGACUAGAGUACUGUAGAGGGGGUAGAAUUUCAGGUGUAGCGGUGAAAUGCGUAGAGAUCUGAAGGAAUACCGGUGGCGAAGGCGGCCCCCUGGACAGAUACUGACACUCAGAUGCGAAAGCGUGGGGAGCAAACAGGAUUAGAUACCCUGGAG
Molecule: ribosomal RNA, 471 nt
Filed under: uncultured bacterium
Lineage: Bacteria
Description: bacterial SSU rRNA
Rfam family: Bacterial small subunit ribosomal RNA
Source: RNAcentral